Molecule: long non-coding RNA, 1310 nt
Organism: Apis cerana (Asiatic honeybee)
Lineage: Eukaryota; Metazoa; Arthropoda; Insecta; Hymenoptera; Apidae
Source: RefSeq, a predicted model, not a curated record
CAUAUCGCAUAAAGAUAAAAUUGAAAAUGCUGAAUCAUUGAUCGUAUAUUUGUUUCACGCGAAUUAUAAGCGGCAGCCGUCAGGUCAAAAAUGACAAACAAUACGCAGGUAGAUAGACAAGAUAGACAAAUACAGAAAAAAAAAAGAAAAAAGAAUGAUUGAGCGAGAAAAAUAAUAAAAUGAAAACACAAAAAAGACGACAGACAGGCGAUUGAAAACGGAAUACAGAAGAUUCGGGAAUAUGUAGAAAUGAGUCGAAUAAGCGAGGUUAUGAUCAAACACUGGCAAAAUAUAAUUGGCAACGUAACUGAAUCGAAAACAUUGGUUAUAGGGAUAAUAAAACAGAAGAAAUACAUAUGGGAUGAGCGAGAAUAAGAUCAAACGAAGAUAUAUAUAUAUAUAUAAAGAGACAAAGACAUAGACAAAAAAUGAUAACUGAACAAGGGAAACAGAGAAAAAAGAGAGACGUGAUACGCAGGCUAAGGUUCAUAAAAAAAAAACUUUUUUUUCUUUUGGAUUAAUGAACGAUUAGCGAGAGAGCUGCAACUUACCGCGGUGUAAAGGAACUCCAGAACGUACUACGUGUGGGAAAAAACCAACGAGAAGAAAGGGCGUUACCACGGUCACAGAACCCGCGUUUGCGGGCAAAAAAACGGACGCGCGUACGCAGCAUUGCGCGAGCAAUCGUUUAUUUCGCAUUUGCAUCGAUUUCUUUUUCUUUUUCUUUUACCACGUCGUUUUUCAUUCAAAUUUUCGCGCCAUCUACCGCCCCAUCAUACGAUAUUGCUUUUUACGUACGUUACGACCGAUGGUUAACUUUCGAAGGAGUUCAUCCCCACCACGCCCAUAUUCCCCCACCCAUUACACGUUCGCGCUAACGUUUUAUCGCGUACUUGCGAGUUCCGCGGCGAAAAUCGAAUGCUCCAUCGCAAUGUUCCGCACGCCGUUACAGAAACAAUAGACGUAGACACACACUAAUCAAGCGUACCCAUCACACACACGGUUUUCGUCAGUCACGCAACAUGAAUACAGUCACUCGCAGACUCAUUCAACAUAGAGUGGUAAUACAUGACAGACACAAGUUGGAAACUACGCACACACAUUUGUAUAUAUACGAUUAUAUAUGUAUAUAUCUAAAUAUAUAUAUGUAUAAUAUAUAUAUAAAUAUUUAUGUAUGUAUUUUUAUAUUAUUUAUAUUAUAAAUAUGUAAUAUAAAUAACAUGUAAAUAAAUAAAUAAUUAUAUAUAUAUACAUAUAUAUAUUAGAUAUAUAUGUAUUUGUAAUGUAUAGAAUAAAAAGAGAAAGAGAUG